This 407-nucleotide long non-coding RNA is filed under the name Physcomitrium patens. RNAcentral describes it as "long non-coding RNA (PPAT_LNC005742)". Lineage: Eukaryota; Viridiplantae; Streptophyta; Bryopsida; Funariales; Funariaceae. The record is from RNAcentral.
GAUCCUCAAACAUUGAGUCAAGCAAUUGACUUUGCUAUGAAGUGUGAUAGUUGACUUUUUGAAUUUCAAUUUGAGAGUCGGAUAAGUAGGCCUCAAUGUUACUAUAAUUCAAUAGCAACACCAAUGCUUUCUCAAUACAUACAUUCAAGAAUAGAGGAUAUGCAAAUUGAUGUGGUAUGUUUUAAACCUCUUAUUGAGCAAAAAAAGACUCAUCGCCGUCAAGAAGAAUUGAGCUUAUAUUAUGAAGAAUCUAAGCACACUGCUCAACAUUGUUCAAAGAAGUGAUACAAUUAUAAAAUGAAGGGUAUAAAUAUCAAAGAAGACAAUAUAUUAAAAAAAAAGUUUGUCCAACUACAAUAGGAACCGUGUGUCUGAAACUUUAUAUAAUACCUAAUGAAGGUCCUAUU